Non-coding RNA from Schistosoma rodhaini, 46 nucleotides. The record is from Rfam. NCBI's taxonomy places the organism in Eukaryota, Metazoa, Platyhelminthes, Trematoda, Strigeidida, Schistosomatidae.
GCACUGCUGAGGAGUUCCAUAAUAAAACGAAACGACCGUUCAGUAC